UACGAAGGGGGCGAGCGUUGUCCGGAAUCACUGGGCGUAAAGCGCAUGUAGGUGGCUUGAUCAGUGGACGAUUAAAUACCGAUGCUUAACAUCGGAACUGUUGUCCAUACUGUCUGGCUUGAGAAUGACAGGGGUAAGCGGAACUUUAGGUGUAGGAGUGAAAUCCGUAGAUAUCUAAAGGAACACCAAUGGCGAAGGCAGCUUACUGGGUCUUUUCUGACACUGAGAUGCGAAAGCGUGGGAGCGAACGGG
RNAcentral lists this ribosomal RNA (252 nucleotides) under uncultured bacterium. RNAcentral describes it as "partial 16S ribosomal RNA". It matches the Rfam family "Bacterial small subunit ribosomal RNA", at positions 524 to 776 of the family's 1533-position model. The record is from RNAcentral.